CGAAAUCGGUAGACGCUACGGACUUAAAAUCCGUCGACUUUCGAGAUCGUGAGGGUUCAARUCCCUCUAUCCCCC
RNAcentral lists this transfer RNA (75 nucleotides) under Chordifex fastigiatus. Its description in RNAcentral is "partial tRNA-Leu". It matches the Rfam family "tRNA", at positions 11 to 71 of the family's 71-position model. Rfam says of the family: Transfer RNA (tRNA) molecules are approximately 80 nucleotides in length. Their secondary structure includes four short double-helical elements and three loops (D, anti-codon, and T loops). Further hydrogen bonds mediate the characteristic L-shaped molecular structure. tRNAs have two regions of fundamental functional importance: the anti-codon, which is responsible for specific mRNA codon recognition, and the 3' end, to which the tRNAs corresponding amino acid is attached (by aminoacyl-tRNA synthetases). tRNAs cope with the degeneracy of the genetic code in two manners: having more than one tRNA (with a specific anti-codon) for a particular amino acid; and 'wobble' base-pairing, i.e. permitting non-standard base-pairing at the 3rd anti-codon position. Lineage: Eukaryota; Viridiplantae; Streptophyta; Magnoliopsida; Poales; Restionaceae. The record is from RNAcentral.